AAGUCGUAACAAGGUUUCCGUAGGUGAACCUGCGGAAGGAUCAUUAACACGUAUCCAAACGUUAAAACCCCCCCCGUGAACAUUCAUCCUGCUCUUGUAACCCGCGAAGCUUGCAAUCUCUGGUAAAUCAUAGCCCGGAAAGUAGUUUUGAUUCAGAGACCUCUGGCCCGUGCGAACAUUGGAACAGUUACAAUUUUGAGCGGUAGUUCUAUAGGCCUUGUUUCCCCAAGCAGUCAGUGUCUGAAAGUGUCAUUGAUUGUGCAAGGAUAACGCUUCACGAUUCUUGUAGACCGCAUCUCGCGGGCAGGAGCGGAUAUCUUGGUUCUC
RNAcentral lists this unclassified non-coding RNA (327 nucleotides) under fungal sp. RNAcentral describes it as "partial internal transcribed spacer region". The stretch from base 1 to 46 matches the Rfam family "Eukaryotic small subunit ribosomal RNA", at positions 1786 to 1831 of the family's 1831-position model. Lineage: Eukaryota; Fungi. The record is from RNAcentral.